Molecule: ribosomal RNA, 371 nt
Filed under: uncultured organism
Description: bacterial SSU rRNA
Rfam family: Bacterial small subunit ribosomal RNA
Source: RNAcentral
CGAAGGGGGCUAGCGUUGCUCGGAAUUACUGGGCGUAAAGGGCGCGUAGGCGGCACUGUUAGUCAGGCGUGAAAUUCCUGGGCUCAACCUGGGGACUGCGCUUGAUACGGCGGAGCUAGAGGAUGGAAGAGGCUCGCGGAAUUCCCAGUGUAGAGGUGAAAUUCGUAGAUAUUGGGAAGAACACCGGUGGCGAAGGCGGCGAGCUGGUCCAUUACUGACGCUGAGGCGCGACAGCGUGGGGAGCAAACAGGAUUAGAUACCCUGGUAGUCCACGCCGUAAACGAUGUGCGCUGGAUGUUGGGUGGCCUAGCCACUCAGUGUCGUAGCUAACGCGGUAAGCGCACCGCCUGGGGAGUACGGCCGCAAGGUUG